This 497-nucleotide ribosomal RNA is filed under the name uncultured bacterium. RNAcentral's name for it is "partial 16S ribosomal RNA". It matches the Rfam family "Bacterial small subunit ribosomal RNA", at positions 28 to 507 of the family's 1533-position model. The record is from RNAcentral.
GAUGAACGCUGGCGGCGUGCCUAAUACAUGCAAGUCGAGCGAACAGACGAGGCGCUUGCUCCUCUGACGUUAGCGGCGGACGGGUGAGUAACACGUGGAUCACCUACCUAUAAGACUGGGAUAACUUCGGGAAUCCGGCGCUAAUACCGGAUAAUAUAUUGCACCGCAUGGUUGAAUAGUGAAAGUCGGUUUUGCUGUCACUACUAGCUGGUUCCGGGCCGCAUUAGCUGGUUGGUAAGGUCACGGCCUACCAAGGCAACGAUGCGUAGCCGACCUGAGAGGGUGAUCGGCGACACUGGAGCUGGGACGCGGACCAGACUCCUACGGGAGGCAGCAGUAGGGAACCUUCCGCAAUGGGCGGAAGCCUGACGGAGCAACGCGGCGUGAGUGAUGAAAGUCUUCGGAUCGUAAAACUCUGUUAUUAGGGAAGAACAAAUAUGUAAGUAACUAUGCACGGCUUGACGGUACCUAAUCAGAAAGCCACGGCUAACUACGUG